GUUUUUGUGUGCAGCAGACUCUUGCCUGAAAUGAAAGUUUUGGCAGAUGCACAUGUUAGGGCCUAGUGGCGGAGUUAAUGCUUGUUUGCGUGAAAUCGCUGCCUGGAAUCUACCUAUGGAACCUAUAACCUACAACCAAGUGCCAAUGAGGACUGCUCUUCAGUUGGUAAAGUGGCAGCUUCGGUAGGCAGUGAGAGGAUAGUGCCAGGUUGCAGGACGCUGAACGAGGACCCUGUACCAGCACCCAGCGCCAGCCGCCGAGCAGCACAAACGCACAACGUCAAGG
Schistocerca serialis cubense is the source of this 286-nucleotide long non-coding RNA. RefSeq lists it as uncharacterized. The record is from RefSeq and is a predicted model, not a curated record. The transcript is spliced from 3 exons. Lineage: Eukaryota; Metazoa; Arthropoda; Insecta; Orthoptera; Acrididae.